This 5163-nucleotide long non-coding RNA is filed under the name Xyrichtys novacula (pearly razorfish). The record is from RNAcentral. Lineage: Eukaryota; Metazoa; Chordata; Actinopteri; Labriformes; Labridae.
GCUUGUGUGGAAGCCAAAGGCAGGAAGAACCCUAGCAGGCAGUGCACGCAAGGUUCUGUUCGGGGCCCCCCGUUCUUUACGCUGGCAUACGUGAAAGGCACCUUCGUGCCCUUCACGAGCCAUCAUGAAGGCAGAAAUGACCCGGGGUAGAGCAGCGAUGAACAGAACCUCCUCGGAACAGGAGUGAUUCAAGAGUCGUGGAGCAAUUUUCCGGCACGAGGGUGGAGCUUUAUAAGUUUUAAAAGGGCGCUCUAAAGGCAUAGGACCAAUAGGAGCUAGGAGUAAAUCAGCUGGCUAUUGUCUGGUUGAGGUUGCUACUAGCCAUUGGCUGCGGAUCAGCGCUUGACGUCAUGACCUGAAAGAACUAACGUUGUGCGCCAUUUCAACAGUGAUCCUUGACAAGUCAACUGACCGGAUCAAGUGAUAGACAACGGUUUUCAAAACUUACCAGAUAAUCCGACCUUCUCACUCACUCUCCUCCUUUUUAUUCCUGUUUUUAUUAAAAAAGCUGUAAAUACAAGAGAGAAGUAUGGCAGGAGUGAACCAUUUUCAGCGGAUCGCUGUUUUGUUUUUGUUGCGGAAGGACUGCAACCGUUGGAGAUGUAGGCGUCGCCGUGUCUGAGUCUCCACCAAUGGCGGCCAUUUCCAGAUGACGUCCAUUUCCAGCGGUAUUGUCGAGUUACCCAAACCCAACUUGAUGACCUGUUGGUGAGGGUCGGUGCCAGGACGUCCCUCCAGGACACCGAUUACAGACACUCUAUUCCUGUGUUUAUAUUUUCACACCAGUGAACAGCUUCUGGUCUGUUUUUCAUACGUCACCCGGGAACCUUCAUGCUGAUUGGUUGUUUCGACACGAAUAUCCGCUUGAGUUGAGAUAUUUUCAACUUUCGCAAAUUCAUGUCAUUCGUGCAAAUCACGUGAAUUACCCUCAUCACUGCCAGAGUAGUACGAGCGUCUCAUCGCGUCUUUGCAUUGACUCAGCAUAUAAUUUAUUUGCGCGAAUGAUUUUGCCCCUUGAGACUGCCUUUUGUUUCAUCAUAACACGCCGCAGUGUUGAGGUGAAGUUUGUCGGUAUGCAGCUGAAACACUCAAGGUACGAGAGGCAUCACGUCACACAUCCUCCUGGAGAGGUGAGCGUUUCUCCAUCUGUGUUUUUCGGGUUUGCAGAAAUCUUAAGUCCUUUCUUCACGCCUGGAUGUUCGACCAGCUGACUGGCUGUCACUCACAGCCUUUUCUUCCUGCUGCUGUAUAUCAUUUGUUACCCGUCUGUCAACAGCUGAUGUAUGAAUAAAGAUUUAAUCACAGCAGAUGACAUGUAAAGUGAUGAUUGUGAUUCUGUUUACAAAAUGAAUGAGGGAACCAUCGAGCAGGAGGCUGCCAAACACAGGCCGCUCCAUCGCCAACAGUUUAAUAUACAGGAGCUUAAUUUAUGAAGCUGCACUCGACGUGAUUUAUCGACACUGUUGUUUUGGAUCUAAUCUCAGGUAAUAAAUGUUGAUCAGUCACUCAGCUGACAGCUCGGCUCUCUCAGAGGUCACGUACUUUCCAACAGAGGAGCUGCUCCUCACUUUUACCAACAGUGAAUCUGCACACUUCAGGAACGGAGGGUCUUCUGAGGGCUCGGCCAAUCAUACGGAGGGUUACUAUACUCUUCUCACCUUUAUUAUAUGAUCUCUGAAGGACUGGUGAUUCGGUGUAGUCGGCUGUGAUUGGCCCACCUUGAAUCAGAUCAGGUGGAAGUUUGUGUGAGCGGGAGGCUGAUGAGAUGGAUCAGCCGGAAAAGUAAAAAAAUCGUAGCGUGCAGAAUCAUCCGUUACCCAGGAAAGGUCCUCAUAAGUAUAGAUCACGUGUGUUAGAGAGUGUUUGAAGGAUGAGUGUUUGCAGCUUUGAUGAUUUUAUUUAUGACGUUUAGAGUCGAGGAGAAACUGUGGAAAUCAAUAGAUCAAAGGUUUCUGCGUGUGUGUGUGUGUGUGCGUGUGUGUAACAGUUUUUUUAUAAUUCAUACUUUUAGAGACUGUUUCCAGCUCUGAACACAUCACACACUCCCCCACCCUCGAGUUUAUCGACCUCAGUGUGGAGAAAUCACUGAUUCAUCAAUACCAUCGAACUCGUCUUCGUCCUCUUCUCCUUUUUUUUCCAUCUCUUCUUCAUUUCUUUUCCUCACCUCCUCCUCCUCCUUCUUCUUUUUCUUCUUCUUCUUCUUCUUGCAGUAAAUCACAGAUUUUUAAGCGUCACAUGGGAUAGAUGGGAAAUAUGUACAUACUUAAUGUUCAUUUUAAAAACAAAUCCUCCCAACAGACCACAGCUGAAAAAAUGUCGGCAAAACGAAAUAACCGGGGGCAGGGAAAGCAACGCUCCCCUCUGAAAGUUGAGGCAGGAUGAGCAGCAGCAAAGACUACAGAGCAAGGAUCAGAUGAAGAAAGAGCAAAUUUCCUCUCUGUGGAUGCAUGAAAAGUUGAUGCGAGCAGAGCAGGAGCAAAAACCCAGGACGACGAAUCAGAGCAGAGCGAACAGGAAGAGUGGAGGCAGGAGGAGCAGCAGCAGACCAGCACAAGAGAAGACCGUUCACGAAGGAGCUUUUCUUCAAUCUAAUGAUAUCAGGUUAUGGUCGUGUACGGGCUGAUAUCUUACCUGUUCACAAAGGUGUGCCACAGGGCUCUGCAUUAGGUCCUCUUUAGUUUACUGUCAUAUUUUCUCCACUCUGACAAUAAACUGAGGGAAACAUCUAGAAUGGAAAAGUCCCUUUAAAAGCAGACCUGGCAGAGCUAAAGGUCCAACCUGAGGAAGUUUUUUUUCAUUCCUACUUUUCUCCUAAAAAUAUCCGUCUGUUUGGUUUGGGGGUCCAGAACCCCGGAUGGUUCUGUUUCCGAGAACUCCCCGCGUUAAAAAUGAAUCGCUCAUCAAACAUAGAAGAGCUGAGCAGAGCGGGCGUGUGUGAGUGAGUGUUUGUGAGCUGGUUAGUCUCUGUUACUGCUGCUCGGAUUGAUUCGGAUGCGGCGUCCCGAUCGAAGUUGUUGUCGGAGAAUUGAAUUUUACUUGAACCUGAUGAAACUACAACAUCAGGAAAUAAUGGAUUUCAGUCACCGAGGGCGCAGACACCUUCACAUCUCCUUCCUCAGACCGGCCUCUGUUAUCUCGCCUGGUGUAAGAGCUCAAGAUGUUUGCACACUCCUGACAGCGCUGGAGAAACAGAGUGAGAAAUAUUAUAUUCACCAGGAACUUAAACUCUAAUAUCCGAGUAUUUUCAUUUUGACACCCUUUUACACUCGAGCUCUGUCGAAGGUGUGAAGAAAUAAGAACAAAAAACGAUAUAAAAGUGAUCGAUUAGAGCUGCCUCUCUAACAACAGUAUGGUAUUAAAAAUAACAGACUGUUGCUAUGGAAUGUUGCUAUGGAAUGACCAAUCAGGAUGAAGUAUUUAACACAGCCCUGUAAUAACGGCCUCUUACACAUUAAACUGCAGCAGUGAAGUGGAACUGUGGCUGACUAGCUCAAGUGCGGUGUGUUUUUACUAUCUGAUGACCUGAGAGUUUAAACUGCGCUCCAGCUCGGCGUGUGCAGAUUCAACCCGGAGCUGAGAGUGUUCGGAGCGCGGUGAACAGUCAUUACGGUGAAUAAUGACUCGCUGGAGGCGCUCUUGGCCUUCGCCUUAUUAGAGCGCUGAUGAUGACACCUCCAGCAGAGAGAACAGAGAGGAGCGGCGGGGGGACAGAGGAAGACCGGCAUCCAAUUACCACCAGCGCUGAAAGCUCUCUGCAGGCGAGCGCCGGCCUUUACUCCAGGCGACGGCGGCGGAAGGUUUUUGUCCUCAAGGUCAGGCGGUGGUAAAGAGCUCGGAGACGGUUUUCCAGGUCAGGGAGGGAGAGAAAGAGCGUAUGUUUCAUCUCUGCUGGAGGUCACAAAUGACAUCCUGGCACUGAAAACAUACAUGUAAUCCUUUUUAAAAGCACUGCGGCUGCCGCGACCUCUGACCCCGCCUGUCUGUGUGAAAUGUACCACAAGAAGAAGAGGAAAGGGACUACAAGCAGAGGUGUGAGCCUAAAAACCCUGACAUAUGAACCGGUCUUUCUAAACCUCUACCUGCUUCCACUCAAAGGAAGUUUGAUUAUUUUUAAACGUUUGACACUUUUACACACUCGAACAAACUCAACACGCCGUUUUAAGAUCCUGACGCUGUAUGAUUCAGGUGAUAACAGGAAAACAUACAGCUGAGAGUUUUCUGAAGGACCGGAGCUCUUCUACCACCGACAUCUGAUCACAGAUCCACAUUCAGUCUCUCCUGAAUGUGAGGUCAUGUGUUUGUGAUACCAAUAAAGAAAUGAUGUUGAACUAAAUAAAAAGAGGCGGUUGUGCUGCGUUCCUGUUGUACUCGGAAGUCAGGAUUUUCAAGGUCCAGGUUAGAAAUUCAUCUGGAACGCCCUCCCUGAAGUUGGAUUUCCAACUUGGAAAGUCGGACGAUCCUCGCCAACCCGACUUGGUAACAACAUCCUAAUUCAAGAUGGCAGCGCCGUGCAUCAACAGUUAAGAGUAACAGUAAAAGCUCUUGUUAUAUGUUAUUUAUCAGCUCUUCUGUUUUGUUUUUAAGGAAAUUAAAUAAGUGGUUUAUGUUUCACUGCCCAACGUCUAACUGUGAACACAUGCCAUGGUGUUUGUUCAACACUAACAACUAACAACCGCUGACAACAGCUGACAAUUGUACACAGCAGCUAACAUCGGGUAACAACGGGUAACUGUUUGCUGCCGACUUGUUAACUGGAACGCUGUCAACUUAGGUGUAGCGUCCUUCCCAGCUCCGCCAUCCAACUACUGAGGUAACCGGAACGCAACAUUAUUACAGGGCUGUGUUAAAUACUUGAUCCUGAUUGGUCAUUCCAUAGCAACAUUGCAUAGCAACAGUCUGUUAUUUUUUAACAGCGCACCGUUGCUAGAGAGGCAGCUCUAAUCACUAACUUGUUAUAUUGUUAUAUAAUCUUAUUUCUUCACACCUUCGACUGUAAAAGGGUUUAAAAUGGAAAAAUCUACGGUGUCCAUCUUUAUGACACAGUAGCAGGGGAAAAACGGGGAAGACGGCAUCAGCUGUGGAGAAGGUUGUGAUGUGAGUGUGCUUUUGUUAUGGGGACAACACAGAACACGUAAACAAGUCUCAAGUCUACGGACUGUGAGG